Molecule: long non-coding RNA, 897 nt
Organism: Melospiza georgiana
Lineage: Eukaryota; Metazoa; Chordata; Aves; Passeriformes; Passerellidae
Exons: 5
Source: RefSeq, a predicted model, not a curated record
AGCUGGGGAGGUUCUGCGGCGGCCACCGGCGACGAUCGGCGACCAUCCACCGCCAUCCGUCGUCUCUGGGGCUCUCCCGCCAGUCGGCUCCGCCGCAUCGGCGCCCUGUGGGCAUGGCGUCCGGCGGCGGCGCUUUGGUGCGCUUCGAAGGCUGCGAAGGGCAGCGCGGCCUUGCCUCCGCCCUCCUCCUCAGGCCGGGCCCGGCCCCGGCAUCCUGGCGUAGAAGGUGAUCCCGGGACAUGGGAUGGCAGGGAUCCUGCGUGUUCCAGAGCUCACCCAUCUGAUGGAUAGACCCAGCAGUAACUCUGUGGAAAAAGACUAAAACCUGUGAGCCCAGUCCCAAGAGCUUCAGCUUGCUUUCUGUACGACCUGAGUUGUGAGGAAGCUGCAGUGUGGAGCGUGUGAGUGUUCUCUGGAGAACUCCUGGUGCUGGGGUGAGCAGUCUAAGCAGAGCAUGAACCAUCCCUGAUGGACUUGGUGCUGCAGUGCCAGACUGUUCUUUCCCAGCCCUCUCCUCCAGAAGUGGGAGCUCUGCAGAGCCAGAUCCUGGCUCCUUCCUUAGCUGUGAGCUCUGCCAAGUGGGAUCAGCCACUUCUGGGCUCCCCUCACCUGCAGUGGAGGGAGGUAGAACUGAUUUGGCUCCAGGUAUAUCUGAAGCUCUGGUUCAGAUGCUCCACCUGGAAGAACAGUCUGUUCCAUGGAGUUUUUUCAGGAGGGGGUCUGGAUAUUAAAUAUUUGAUUAGAGGAGAGAGCCAGUAAUGCCAAGGUGGUGGGUUUGAUCCCUGUACAGGCCAUUCGCUUAAGAGCUGGACUCAGUGAUCCAUGUGGGCCCCUUCCAGCUUGGAAUAUUCUCUGUGUGUGAUAGGAGUUUGAAUAAAUGCAGUUACUUCAAAUCUU